RNAcentral lists this long non-coding RNA (2932 nucleotides) under Olea europaea subsp. europaea. The record is from RNAcentral. Lineage: Eukaryota; Viridiplantae; Streptophyta; Magnoliopsida; Lamiales; Oleaceae.
AUAGGUCGUGCUGGACGUGAUGGUAGAUUUUCUUAUUGCCAUCUGCUUUUUGAUGAUGUCACAUACUUCAAGCUUCGAAGUUUGAUGUACAGGUAAAGCAAAUGCCAUUUCUAUGUAGCCUCCCAUUUGUGGGAUUGGAGAUACAGAUUUUGGUGAUAACAUUAUUUUUUCAGUGAUGGCGUAGAUGCACAUGCAGUAAAUUUGUUACUUUCUCAUGUUUUUAUGAGCAAAGGAAGUGCAGCCAAUGAUACUUGUUCGUUAGUCAAAGAAACUGCUUCUCGUAAAUUUGAUAUGAAAGAAGAGGUCGGUCAAGUUGCUGCUUUUGAAUAAAGUUUGCUUACAAGCCCUCAUCUUCCUGUCAAAAAAAUUCAACUUUGAUUAUCAACCUAAGUAGUUUGUUAUUCAGUUUGUAUAUUAUUCAAUCAUAAAUGAAUUUAUUAUAUCGAGAUAUUUUUGCCUCAUGAUGUUGAACUACUGAUUUUUCUUGCCUUGUAGGUGAUGCUAACUAUUUUGACACAGUUGGAGUUGGGAGAAGUGCAAUACCUUCAAUUGCUUCCCCAGAUAAAUGUAACAUGUACUGUAAAUUUCCAUAAGGUGCGUUAUGCUUUCUAUGGGGGAUAAAUUUCUAUUCUCUGGAUGUUUAGUUUAUGCCGUCGUUCUUUGUUGAACUACUUGAUCUAAAGUUUAAAUUAUUAGAUCUUUAAAAUGCCUCUUCACGUGUAGACGGGGUUCAUUUUUUCCCGUCAAAGCCUAUCACGUGCAUAAUUCAUUUAAAUGAGUGACGGUGCAAUUUGAACCUAGGACAUUUGCAUGCUCUGAUACCAUGUUAAAUCACUUGAUCUAAAAACUUAAAUUAUUAGAUAGGGCCACAUGUAUAAUUAUUUAUCUUUCUGCAGACUCCGCCAGCACUUUUUGCUGCUAAAGAUAUUGUGGUUGCAUCAAUUCUGAACAAGUGAGAAAUAUUUUUUAUUCCAUACUACCAUGAACUAUGAAGUUAUUUGUUCUUAAAACUCUUAAUUGCUCUGCUAAUGCUUUACAAGCUUUUCAGGUCUGAAAUGAAAGAUGGGCAAUAUGUAUUUGACAUACCAUCUGUGGCAAAUAGCAUCAGAAUGCAGGCUGUUGACCUUACAAAUCACUUGCAGAGUCUAAAGGUGAGUAUGUUUUGACUUGUCCAAGCUUUUCAAAUUCCAAUUUGGAAUGAGAUUUUAAGAGAUUUCAGUUCUUUCAAACUCAUUUCUACAAGCCACUUGUUGAACUAUCUAUUCAUAUAGAGCUCUAUGGAGUUAUUGCUCUUCCCUUUAAUCCACUUGAAGUCUAAGGUCAAGUUUUUAUCCUCGUUCAAGCUUUGAUUGAAGAGGUCGAACUUGUAUGUUAGGAGGUUUGACAGAUCACGUUUAGCUAAGCUUAAAAUGUUUGCUUAUAAGCAAAAUAAGUAAGUCUUCAAAUAUUUAAUUUCUUAUUGGAUAAAGUUAGAUAAGUUACUUUUGACAGUAAGAUUAAGGUACUUUUAUGAUAAGUGACUUUUUUACCCAAAUGUAAGAUAAUAAAUUAUCGAAGCAAAAAGUUACUUGUGUUUUUUGUUGUAUUAAGGACCAUAAGAUUAUCUCUUCCAAAUUUUACUGUCUUUAGAACAUGAUUUAUACCUUACUCUGUCAAUUUCCAAAAAUUCAAGCUUCUAAUCAUUUUUCUCUGACAAUGGCGGAAUAUGAUUUAAAAUUGAAAUGCUGCUUCAAUAUUUUACACUUUAUAGUUGAAGUACUAUGAAAAUUAUGGUAACAUAAUAUUUGGCAUGGUCCUAAUCACUUAAUUGUAUUAUACUCGUUGAAAUAAUUGGGAAAAGAACCUUGUUGUAUUCUCCGAUUGAUUAGAAUUUACUAACUCACAGAAUUUUCUGUAUUGCUUGUAUUAGUUGAAGGGGGAAAUCACAUAUGAUUUGAAGGAUCCAGCCUAUUGUUAUACCAUUAUUAAUGUCCCGGAAGAUAUUUGUUCUUUGGCAGCAAGCCUUACAAAGUGGUUAUCUGAGGUCGAGACCUGUAAGGUGAUUGGCUUUCCUUUAUGUCAUUUAUUAUUUUUGUAGUUUAUUCUCUAUUUGUGUGGGGAAGAGGGGGACAUUCAUAGUGCAAGUUUGGCAAAGCUUAUAUUAUAAUUUAAACUUGUCAAACAUACUUUUUAUCCAACUUAUUAUCCAGCAUUCAAUGGGGCCCGCUGUUUAAAACAAGCACGUGAUAACAUGCAUACUGACUUUGAUUGACGUAGGUGCGGAAGAUAGAUGCAAUGUUUAAUGCUGCUGUUUUUGCUGCAAAAGAGUGUGAUAAAGUGCAGAGCUGCCAAGAAAAUCAACAUACUUCUUGCUUGCAAAGGAAGAUUCAACAGUACUUUAAUGGGGAUGAUGACGUUGAUGUUCCUAACCAGAUGGGUCAAAACAGGUUGAAAUGUUUGAUCUAUAAAUACACAAUUCACAGUGAACUUAUUGUUGGAGCUCGUUUGCUUGGGCUUCAAAACAAAUAAGAACUACUCAAGUUUCCAAACAAGUGUAUCCAAAGUUACUUAUUUUGACAGUAACUCCUGAUUAAAAUAAGUAGCUUGCCAUUUUUUUUUCUUUACAGUUUUUCUAGAACUUACAAGUGAACUGUAUAAGCUUAGCCAAACAUGCUCCAACAAGGCAACUACAGCAAAAAGCUAAGCUUUCAUUGCAUAAUAUAUAGCUGGGAUCUAUUGCUGAGCUCUGUUGUUUCAUUGAGCAUCAAUCAUGAAGAACCCAAAAAUAACUUAUAGUCUAGCAGAUAUUGAUAUGAAAAUAUCUAUGUAUAUAUGUUGCAAUAAAUAUUAUGAUCUUUCUAGAUAUUAUUUGAUUGUCCUAACUAAAACAUCAUUUUGUUUGCAGUCCAUUUUUGCGGGCUGAUAUAAAGGUACAAAUUUUCAAACGUUACAA